This 531-nucleotide ribosomal RNA is filed under the name uncultured bacterium. RNAcentral's name for it is "partial 16S ribosomal RNA". It matches the Rfam family "Bacterial small subunit ribosomal RNA", at positions 355 to 871 of the family's 1533-position model. The record is from RNAcentral.
UGGGGAAUUUUGGACAAUGGGCGAAAGCCUGAUCCAGCAAUGCCGCGUGUGUGAAGAAGGCCUUCGGGUUGUAAAGCACUUUUGUCCGGAAAGAAAUCCUUGGCUCUAAUACAGUCGGGGGAUGACGUACCGGAAGAAUAAGCACCGGCUAACUACGUGCCAGCAGCCGCGGUAAUACGUAGGGUGCAAGCGUUAAUCGGAAUUACUGGGCGUAAAGCGUGCGCGGGCGGUUUGCUAAGACCGAUGUGAAAUCCCCGGGGCUCAACCUGGGGAACUGCAUUUGGGUGACUGGCAGGGCUAGAGUAUGGCAGAGGGGGGUAGAAUUCCACGUGUAGCAGUGAAAUGCGUAGAGAUGUGGAGGAAUACCGAUGGCGAAGGCAGCCCCCCUGGGGCCAAUACUGACGCUCAUGCACGAAAGCGUGGGGAGCAAACAGGAUUAGAUACCCUGGUAGUCCACGCCCCUAAACGAUGUCAACUAGUUGUUGGGGAUUUCAUUUCCUUAGUAACGUAGCUAACGCGUGAAGUUGACCG